GAAUAUUGUGUUAGAGCUCAUUACUGCUUAGCCCUAAUUAGCAGUAGGAAUGAGUUCAGACUACACAAGUGUUUACACUACUUUUAACUUGUGCUCCUUAGAAUAAAAAGGGGAAAAUAUAGCAAAUUGGAUUGCUACUUCAUUAUGUCUGAAGUUGUAAUGGAAGUGAUUGUGGUCACUUACAUGUAUCAAUAUUUAACAAUUGCCCC
Molecule: non-coding RNA, 209 nt
Organism: Pelobates cultripes (western spadefoot toad)
Lineage: Eukaryota; Metazoa; Chordata; Amphibia; Anura; Pelobatidae
Source: the annotation of a GenBank genome assembly